CCUACGGGAGGCAGCAGUAAGGAAUAUUGGUCAAUGGAGGCAACUCUGAACCAGCCAUGCCGCGUGCAGGGUGACUGCCCUAUGGGUUGUAAACUGCUUUUGUACGGGAAUAACCCCUACUAUGUAUAGUAGGCUGAAUGUACCGUAAGAAUAAGGAUCGGCUAACUCCGUGCCAGCAGCCGCGGUAAU
Molecule: ribosomal RNA, 189 nt
Filed under: uncultured Bacteroidota bacterium
Lineage: Bacteria; Pseudomonadati; Bacteroidota
Description: uncultured Bacteroidetes bacterium partial 16S ribosomal RNA
Rfam family: Bacterial small subunit ribosomal RNA
Source: RNAcentral